GGUACAGACAGGUCUUUAUUGUUGACAUAUUUUCUCAUUUAAUCCUUGAAGCAACCCUGAGGUAGGUUUUAUUAUCCCCACUUCGCAGAUGAGUAAACUGAUGUCCCUAGGUUAGGUUACUUGCCGAAGAUCACACAUUUACUAGUGGCAAAGCCACUGAUAAUUCCAAACCCAAGGGGACUCUUUUGAGUAGUUCACAGGCUGCUGCCAAGGAAAGUAGAGCAGAAAACUUCAAAGGGGAAGGACUGGAUCAUUGACUGGAGCUUGAGGGGCUCAAGCACCAGGGAUGAACGAGGCACAUUCACAGGCCAAGACCAGGACUCAGCAGGAGAAGCCUAGAGCCAUGUGCGAGUGGUCAAGCAGGAAGAGGUCUUGACGUUUGGUAAGAGCUGACAAUGUCAUCAAAUACACAUAGAGCUCAGCUUCCAGGGACUGGAGAAACAAGAAGGCCUCCAGCAGCUACCAGUCCAGGGACUGGCCACAGUCAGUCAGACUCAAAGAGAACUGAGAGGCCACAACAGUCUUCCAGACCCAGCAACCUUUGGCAUCUCAGUGGUAACUCCAUUCCAGCAAAUCACCCUGUUCCAGGCAGGGCAAGUCCAGGGAGAGCUGCCACAGAGUGAUGCCAUCCUAACUUGGCCUCAGUGCAGUAACCUCAGGGCAGUGGUCCUUUAACUUUGUUAAGGCCUUGAAAAUCUGACAAAAGCCAUAAAACCUCCCCACAGAGACAUACAGACACACAUGUACAAACAACAUUUUGCAUACAAUUUCAGGGAGUCCAUGGACCCCAGGUAGGGGGGACUCCUGCUUUAGGGCAAGGGUGUCACCCUGAGUAGUCACUGAUUGCAAACGUAUCUUUAUACUGCUCGUAUAUCCUAUGACUGUUCCCCUUCUGUUGUUCCCUAAUCAUUAGAAUGUUGUUGAUUUUUAAUGGGAGCCAAGGAAAUGGGGUACAGCCUACACUCCAGCCAGAGAAAGCAGCUGUGACAUGGCAGUGGUGGCAGCCAGGGGGUAAAAACAAAGAAAAGGAUGGGGUCAUGUGUACUGCUGCCCUUCCCACCCGGAAGGUCACUUUAGGAGCUUUUCUCUACUCAAAUUUAGAGUAAGGUUGUGGGGCAAUGGGGAGAGGGGCAGUGUUUCAGUUCCUUUUAGAAAGGAACGCCAUUCCCUCUAUGGCUACAGGGUCUAAAGUUCUGCAGGCAACGCCCCCAUUCCAAUUGUCUCCCUCCCCAUCCCUCAUAAAUAUUCCUAAGCAUCGGCCCAGUCAUUCAUGCACAUGUGGCCAGGUCUCUUAUGAACACUAUGUAUUUACACGUACUCUUUCAUGGAAGGAAAACUGAGAUGGGGAAGAUCUCAGGGCAGAGACUCCAUAUUGCAACAUGGGGAUCAUGCACUCCCCACAGAUUCAGAUAAACUUGAAGAAUAAGCAGAACCACCCCAAGGACUCAGGGCACAUUUGCCCCCAACCACCUCCAGGGCUCUUCCUUCCGGCCAGGCUCCAACCAGAAAGCAAAGUCAUAGCUAUGCCCUGUGCCCCAUCCCCAAAACUAAUGGGCCCAAGAUAGGGGGCCAGGGAUGAAGGUUUACAGGAGUUCAGAUGUUAGGGGGAAGCCCUGAUUUGCUGCAGAAAGCAGUUCUGAUUUCUCAUGGGAAUCAGGAAUCAGGCAAAGGUCUGGCCCCAAGCCCAUCCAGGCUCAGAGAGAACAGAUACUAAAAUCCAAGUAAUCACUCAUACUCAAAGAGAACUCAGAGGCUGGGAUGGUCUUCCAGGCCCAGUGACCCCCAGCAUCUCAGUGGUCACUCCGUUCCAGUGAUCACUUAUACACUAGUGGUCAUUUGCCCAGCUCUAGAUGGAUGUUUCAUCACAUGUGGCUAGAGGAGCCCCAGUUAGCCGAAUGUGGGCUGGGCUUGGGCAAGGAUCAAGCAGGAAGGGUGGUGAGAAUCCACCAAAGCCACUGCCCCUCUUGGCCAGGGCCAGCGGCAACCGCUCAUCUUCAGGAGAGGGGGAGGGAGGGUCUUGGCUGUAGCUUGUGGUCCCAGAAGGUGGAGCCCCCAGGUCCAGGCCCACCUUGUCUCUAGCCAGAAGUUCCCUCUGUCGCCGUCGCUGCUGACGCCGACCAAUCAGAAUGAGAGUCAGGGAUGCUGCGAGAAUCCCCAAGAAGAAGCCAGCCAGUCCCGCCCCCACUGUGUGGGCCCGGCUCGGAGCAUCUCGCUGGCUGCCCCAUACCAAGCUGUAAGGCUGCCCGGGACCCGGGCGGGGCCGCGCAGCAGAGGCCGGCAUCUUUGGCUCCGCCUGGCCGCGGGUGCGGCGCAAGCUACGGCCUCUGCUCAGGGCCCCGGGGCUACUGGCCUCGGCCCCACUCGGGUCCUCUCGGCUCGGUCCGGCUCAGCCUGAGGCUGAGGGAU
This 2406-nucleotide long non-coding RNA is filed under the name Homo sapiens (human). RNAcentral's name for it is "non-protein coding lnc-M1AP-1:1". Lineage: Eukaryota; Metazoa; Chordata; Mammalia; Primates; Hominidae. The record is from RNAcentral.